GACGAACGCUGGCGGCGUGCCUAAUACAUGCAAGUAGAACGCUGAAGGAGGAGCUUGCUUCUCUGGAUGAGUUGCGAACGGGUGAGUAACGCGUAGGUAACCUGCCUGGUAGCGGGGGAUAACUAUUGGAAACGAUAGCUAAUACCGCAUAAUAGCAGUUAUCGCAUGAUAACUGUUUGAAAGGUGCAAUUGCACCACUACCAGAUGGACCUGCGUUGUAUUAGCUAGUUGGUGGGGUAACGGCUCACCAAGGCGACGAUACAUAGCCGACCUGAGAGGGUGAUCGGCCACACUGGGACUGAGACACGGCCCAGACUCCUACGGGAGGCAGCAGUAGGGAAUCUUCGGCAAUGGACGGAAGUCUGACCGAGCAACGCCGCGUGAGUGAAGAAGGUUUUCGGAUCGUAAAGCUCUGUUGUAAGAGAAGAACGAGUGUGAGAGNGGAAAGUUCACACNGNGACGG
Molecule: ribosomal RNA, 463 nt
Filed under: uncultured bacterium
Lineage: Bacteria
Description: bacterial SSU rRNA
Rfam family: Bacterial small subunit ribosomal RNA
Source: RNAcentral